GACGAACGCUGGCGGCGUGCUUAACACAUGCAAGUCGAACGGAAAGGCCCUGCUUUUGUGGGGUGCUCGGGUGGCGAACGGGUGAGUAACACGUGAGUAACCUGCCCUUGACUUUGGGAUAACUUCAGGAAACUGGGGCUAAUACCGGAUAGGAGCUCCUGCUGCAUGGUGGGGGUUGGAUAGUUUCGGCGGUUGGGGAUGGACUCGCGGCUUAUCAGCUUGUUGGUGGGGUAGUGGCUUACCAAGGCUUUGACGGGUAGCCGGCCUGAGAGGGUGACCGGCCAAAUUGGGACGGGGAUACGGCCCAGACUCCUACGGGAGGCAGCAGUGGGGAAGAUUGCACAAUGGGCGGAAGCCUGAUGCAGCAACGCAGCGUGCGGGAUGACGGCCUUCGGGUUGUAAACCGCUUUCGCCUGUGACGAAGCGUGAGUGACGGUAAUGGGUAAAGAAGCACCGGCUAACUACGUG
This 468-nucleotide ribosomal RNA is filed under the name uncultured bacterium. RNAcentral describes it as "partial 16S ribosomal RNA". It matches the Rfam family "Bacterial small subunit ribosomal RNA", at positions 28 to 507 of the family's 1533-position model. The record is from RNAcentral.